AUUGAACGCUGGCGGCAUGCCUUACACAUGCAAGUCGAACGGCAGCAUGGAAGAGCUUGCUCUUCUGAUGGCGAGUGGCGAACGGGUGAGUAAAGCAUCGGAACGUACCGUGUAGUGGGGGAUAACGUAGCGAAAGUUACGCUAAUACCGCAUACGCACUGAGGUGGAAAGCAGGGGAUCGCAAGACCUUGCGCUAUACGAGCGGCCGAUGUCAGAUUAGCUAGUUGGUAGGGUAAAGGCCUACCAAGGCGACGAUCUGUAGCGGGUCUGAGAGGAUGAUCCGCCACACUGGGACUGAGACACGGCCCAGACUCCUACGGGAGGCAGCAGUGGGAAUUUUGGACAAUGGGCGAAAGCCUGAUCCAGCCAUGCCGCGUGAGUGAAGAAGGCCUUCGGGUUGUAAAGCUCUUUCGGCUGGGGAGAAAUCGCACAGGCUAAUACUCUGUGUGGAUGACGGUACCAGCACAAGAAGCACCGGCUAACUACGUG
This 489-nucleotide ribosomal RNA is filed under the name uncultured bacterium. RNAcentral describes it as "bacterial SSU rRNA". It matches the Rfam family "Bacterial small subunit ribosomal RNA", at positions 30 to 507 of the family's 1533-position model. The record is from RNAcentral.